RNAcentral lists this ribosomal RNA (491 nucleotides) under uncultured bacterium. RNAcentral's name for it is "partial 16S ribosomal RNA". It matches the Rfam family "Bacterial small subunit ribosomal RNA", at positions 29 to 507 of the family's 1533-position model. The record is from RNAcentral.
AGUGAACGCUGGCGGUAGGCCUAACACAUGCGAGUCGAACGGCAGCACAGUAAGAGCUGCUCUUACGGGUGGCGAGUGGCGGACGGGUGAGGAAUACAUCGGAAUCUACUUUUUCGUGGGGGAUAACGUAGGGAAACUUACGCUAAUACCGCAUACGACCUACGGGUGAAAGCAGGGGAUCUUCGGACCUUGCGCGAUUGAAUGAGCCGAUGUCGGAUUAGCUAGUUGGCGGGGUAAAGGCCCACCAAGGCGACGAUCCGUAGCUGGUCUGAGAGGAUGAUCAGCCACACUGGAACUGAGACACGGUCCAGACUCCUACGGGAGGCAGCAGUGGGGAAUAUUGGACAAUGGGCGCAAGCCUGAUCCAGCCAUACCGCGUGGGUGAAGAAGGCCUUCGGGUUGUAAAGCCCUUUUGUUGGGAAAGAAAAGCAGCAGGUUAAUACCCCGCUGUUCUGACGGUACCCAAAGAAUAAGCACCGGCUAACUUCGUG